Magnolia sinica is the source of this 1790-nucleotide RNA transcript. It is a transcript of the gene named peptidyl-prolyl cis-trans isomerase CYP40-like, with no coding region annotated. The transcript is spliced from 10 exons. The record is from RefSeq and is a predicted model, not a curated record. NCBI's taxonomy places the organism in Eukaryota, Viridiplantae, Streptophyta, Magnoliopsida, Magnoliales, Magnoliaceae.
AAAUUCGAGCAAACCUCCGCCAGAAGCAAAGUGGGUCGGUUACAACAAAGUCCCCUCGGCGCAAGUUAGCGACAGCCCGUCAUAAAUACGAGGCUUUUGAUUUGAACACUGGUCAGCAGCGGGAUUAGGGUUUUGUUUUCCGUUCUCGACAGAACGGGAUUCAAAGAAGCGUAGUUACAGAGAGAGAGAGAGAGAGAGAGAGAGAGAGAGAUGGGGAACCGACGGUGCUUUUUCGACAUCAGCAUAGGAGGGGAGUUGGAGGGGCGGAUAGUGGUGGAGCUCUACAGCGACGUGGUCCCCAAAACGGCCGAAAACUUCAGAGCUCUUUGUACGGGCGAGAAGGGCAUUGGCCCUAACACUGGCGUUCCUCUCCAUUACAAGGGCGUCCGUUUUCACCGGGUUAUUAAAGGUUUUAUGAUACAAGGUGGCGACAUAUCUGCCGGAGAUGGCACCGGGGGAGAAUCCAUUUAUGGGUUGAAAUUUGAGGAUGAGAAUUUUGAGUUGAAACAUGAAAGGAAAGGAAUGCUAUCGAUGGCUAAUUCUGGACCUAAUACCAAUGGGUCUCAAUUCUUUAUUACCACCACCCGGACAUCACAUCUUGAUGGUAAACAUGUUGUGUUUGGGAAAAUAAUUAAAGGCAUGGGGGUCGUUCGUUCCAUUGAGCACACCCCCACUGAGCCUGGUGAUUGUCCCACAGUUGAUGUUGUGAUUGUAGACUGUGGGGAAAUUCCUGAAGGUGAAGAUGAUGGCAUUACCAAUUUCUUCAACGAUGGUGAUACAUAUCCUGAUUGGCCUGCUGAUCUAGAUGAGAAGUCGGCUGAGAUAUCUUGGUGGAUGAAUGCUGUAGAGUCAAUCAAAGCUUUAGGGAAUGAUCAAUACAAGAAACAAGAUUUUAAAACGGCUCUUAAAAAGUAUCGGAAAGCAUUGCGCUACUUGGAUGUUUGCUGGGAGAAAGAAGAGAUUGAUGAGGAGAAGAGUUCUCAUUUGAGGAAGACGAAGUCACAGAUAUUUACAAAUAGCUCUGCUUGUAAGUUGAAAUUAGGAGAUUUAAAAGGCGCAUUAUUGGACACAGACUUUGCAAUGCGUGAAGGAGAGGGUAAUGUCAAAGCCUUGUUUCGCCAGGGUCAGGUAUACAUGGCACUUAAUGAUGUAGAUGCUGCAGUGGAGAGCUUCAAGAAAGCAUUAGAGUUGGAGCCAAAUGAUGGAAGUAUAAAGAAGGAGCUUGCUGCUGCAAGGAAGAAGAUUGCUGAUAGGCGUGAUCAGGAGAGAAAGGCUUAUUCCAGAAUGUUCAAAUAAGCAUCCAGAUGGUCCGCCAGGCCAAUGUCAAAAAUUCUAAUCUGCUGCCCUCUUAUGUUUAUAUGGUCGAAUGGUUCAGGCUUUCUCCAUAUCAGGCAAUUGACUAGCUUUAGUAGAGUACAGGUUUUGUCAUUUUAAUGGGGCGAAGGAAGAAUUCCAGAUCCCCUUUUGGUUGCCAAAUCAUCUGCUGUACCAUUCAUGCAAUGUGUGAAAGAACUUAGUUUUAAAUGGACAAUUUUGAUCUUCUUAUCCCAGUCAAGUGGACAGUUUUGAUAUUCAGUUUUUCUUGCCUGUAAUGGUAAAGGUCUUGUAGAGAAGUCAAACAUAUGAUGGUUGUCUUUCUUGGCCCGCCCGCCCACUGCUUGGGGCAUGAGUAGGAUUAUAUGCUACUUGCAGGCAUACAUGCUAAUGUGGGUCAAAUGAGCUCCAAGUUGUUCAUCAUUUAGAUUUUAGACUCCAUUGCCUGUCUGAGGCUCAGGAAUCAUGCACAGAAA